Molecule: transfer RNA, 84 nt
Filed under: Spirochaetota bacterium
Lineage: Bacteria; Pseudomonadati; Spirochaetota
Description: Spirochaetes bacterium tRNA-Tyr
Rfam family: tRNA
About the family: Transfer RNA (tRNA) molecules are approximately 80 nucleotides in length. Their secondary structure includes four short double-helical elements and three loops (D, anti-codon, and T loops). Further hydrogen bonds mediate the characteristic L-shaped molecular structure. tRNAs have two regions of fundamental functional importance: the anti-codon, which is responsible for specific mRNA codon recognition, and the 3' end, to which the tRNAs corresponding amino acid is attached (by aminoacyl-tRNA synthetases). tRNAs cope with the degeneracy of the genetic code in two manners: having more than one tRNA (with a specific anti-codon) for a particular amino acid; and 'wobble' base-pairing, i.e. permitting non-standard base-pairing at the 3rd anti-codon position.
Source: RNAcentral
GCGUCGUUAUGCAAGCGGGCGAAGCAGGCUGACUGUAAAUCAGUUACGUUAGAAACAUCGGUGGUUCGAAUCCAUCACGGCGCA